UUAAAUUUGCCAUGGGUACAGUCGUAAGUGGAGGUCGAGGUUGGGUAGAUUCACUUGGUCCACUCACUACUCUAGUUCACUUUUAUCCAUUCCGCCUCUACUGAGAACACAAUCCUUCAAAGCCGCCUCCACAUUCUUCCCUGCAGACAGCUGCAAACCAUUUGGGCAAGCAUGGAGAUUUAUUGCAGUCUACACAGCACCCAUCUAUCUAAAUCUCUUCAUUCACAUUCUUUCCUUCCACCAUUUAAAAAAUGUUACAGAAAAUUUCCACAACACAGAAAAGUGUUGGUUCAGUGUUCCAUUGCAGAAGCGAAAGGAAUUCGAUGGGGUUGCGAAAUCGACUCUCUGGAUAAUGCAUAUCGAUUGCAGGAUUGGCUGAACAAGGAGGGUCUUCCGCCUCAAAAACUCGCAAUUCAGAAGGUCGACGUGGGUGGCAGGGGACUCGUGGCCCUUAAAAACAUACGUAAAGGGGAGAAAUUGCUUUAUGUUCCCCAAAAUCUCAUUAUUACCCCUGACUCUGCCUGGAGUACUCCUGCUCUAGGUGAUAUCCUGCGUAGGAACAGUGUGCCUGAAUGGCCAUUUCUCGCAAUAUAUUUAAUCAAUGAAGCAAGUCUGAAUAGGUCUUCAAAAUGGAAUGCAUACAUUUCAGCCUUACCUCGCCACCCAUACUCAAUUCUGCAGUGGUCUCGUGCUGAAGUAGAGAUGUACUUGGCUGCUUCACCAGUCAAAGUGCAAGCUAUAGAAUGCAUCAAUGAUGUUAAUGAAACGCACCAGGAUUUGCAAACCAGGAUAUUUUCCAAGUAUCCUGACUUAUUUCCGCAAAAGGUGUUCAAUUUGGAGACAUUAAAAUGGGCAUUUGGUAUCCUUUUCUCUCGUUUGGUUCGUUUACCAUCUAUGAACAAUCAAAUUGCUUUAAUUCCAUGGGCAGACAUGCUUAACCAUAGCUCAGAGGUAGACACAUAUUUGGACUUUGAUGUAUUAUCGAAGGGGAUUGUUUUUGCUGCUGACAAAGCAUAUCAACCAAGGGAACAAGUGUUUAUAUCCUAUGGGAAGAAGUCAAAUGGUGAGCUUCUACUUGCAUGUGGGUUUGUGCCAGAGGAGGGUACUAAUGCAGAUGAUUCAGUGGCACUGCCAUUAGCAAUUGAUAAAAGUGACAGUUGCUAUGAUCAGAAGUUGGAACUUCUGCAGAGGCAUGGUUUGUCAACGCCUCAGAGCUUUCCUCUUAAAAUGACUGGCUGGCCCACACAAUUAGAAGCUUAUGCUUUCUUGGUUGUCAGCCCUCCAUCUAUGGCUCAACAAUUUGAGAAGUUGGCUGUUGCUGCCUCGAGUACUGGUGCUUAUGGAUCUGGCUUGAGCUUCCCUGAAGAAUUGAGAGUAAAGGCAUUUCAGCUCAUUUUAGACACUUGUGAAACUAGCAUCUCAAAAUACACUGCCUACAUAGAGAAUGUGCAGAAAAAUGGACGCCAAAAUUUGAGUGACAGGCAGGCAUUGCUUAAGAAAUUGUCUGUGGACUUGUGUUCUGGUGAACAAAGAAUAUUAUUUCGUGCUCAAUAUGUUCUUCGAACAAAACUGAAAGAUCUACAAGGUGUUGGAUUAAAGGCAUUGAAUGUGUUUAAUGGAGUCAAAAGGUUGUUCUCAUGAGAUGGAAAAAUUCUUGUAACGUGUACUCUAUCAUAACAUGGUUUAAAAGAAGAGUAUUCUCUGAUUCUUGGAAAAGAUCUUAACCUCAUGGCCAAUCUGAAUGUUGUGAAAGCUAGAGGAGCAGACAGAAAAUAAAAAAUAAUGCAUCCCAAGUAGGCAGAUAAUAUGAGAAGCUUCCAAUAGAUUCAUCAUAUCUAGUAAAUGUGGUAAUGUGGUUAUGUAGCAGGCUGUGUGAGCUGCUCAUUUUGUUAUAAAUAGUGAUUACCUUCUUUUCUAUAAUUCA
Cryptomeria japonica (Japanese cedar) is the source of this 1924-nucleotide RNA transcript. It is a transcript of the gene named ribulose-1,5 bisphosphate carboxylase/oxygenase large subunit N-methyltransferase, chloroplastic, with no coding region annotated. The transcript is spliced from 13 exons. Lineage: Eukaryota; Viridiplantae; Streptophyta; Pinopsida; Cupressales; Cupressaceae. The record is from RefSeq and is a predicted model, not a curated record.